CGCGAAACCAGGCGAGCUACUGACAUACGUAUAGUGGUACAGCGUAUGUUGCAUAAUAUUACAAGAUAAGUCAGUAGGAGUGAAAGGCUGUCAAGUCUGGUGAUAUCUCGUAACCUCUGAAACGUAUCAAGUACAUCGUCGAUUUAUUAGUGAUAAGGCUAGUAAAAGAUAUGUAUCGUGUUGAACAGCAUAUUACAUAGUUUAAUCGCUAGUAACUUAAUGCAAAAUUAUAACUUUUUAUAAAUAAUAGUACCUAAGGGGUUCUAGUAAAUUACCACGAAUAUUAAUACUGUGAGUAUAAGUAAUUAAGGUAUUAUUGAUGAACUCGGCAAUAUUUCUUUCAACUGUUUAUCAAAAACAUCGCCAGUAGAAUACACUAUUGGUUAUUUCUGCUCAAUGUAUCAUAAAUAGCCGCAGUACCCUGACUGUGCAAAGGUAGCAUAAUCAUUUGGCUUAUAAUUGAAGUCUGGCAUGAAGGAAGUCAUGGGGGAGAACUCUAUUGAUGAUAAUGAUUGAAUUUAUUUAGAGGGUGCAAAGACCCUUGAACAAAUAAUAGACGAGAAGACCCUAGAAAUUUUGAGGACAGGUAUUCACCACUUUUUGUUGGGGCAACAACGUAGCACGUAACCUACGGUAACAACAUGUCAUGUUUUAGUAAGAGCAAAUUACUCUAGGGAUAACAGCGUAAUUCUGUUGAGUUUGCGACCUCGAUGUUGGACUAGGAAGCAGUUGCUUAGAA
This 739-nucleotide ribosomal RNA is filed under the name Amplirhagada inusitata. Its description in RNAcentral is "partial 16S ribosomal RNA". It matches the Rfam family "Archaeal large subunit ribosomal RNA", at positions 790 to 2629 of the family's 2987-position model. The record is from RNAcentral. Lineage: Eukaryota; Metazoa; Mollusca; Gastropoda; Stylommatophora; Camaenidae.